Molecule: ribosomal RNA, 484 nt
Filed under: uncultured bacterium
Lineage: Bacteria
Description: partial 16S ribosomal RNA
Rfam family: Bacterial small subunit ribosomal RNA
Source: RNAcentral
AUUGAACGCUGGCGGCAGGCCUAACACAUGCAAGUCGAGCGGAUGAAGGGAGCUUGCUCCUGGAUUCAGCGGCGGACGGGUGAGUAAUGCCUAGGAAUCUGCCUGGUAGUGGGGGAUAACGUCCGGAAACGGGCGCUAAUACCGCAUACGUCCUGAGGGAGAAAGUGGGGGAUCUUCGGCCCUCCCGCUAUCAGAUGAGCCUAGGUCGGAUUAGCUAGUUGGUGGGGUAAAGGCCUACCAAGGCGACGAUCCGUAACUGGUCUGAGAGGAUGAUCAGUCACACUGGAACUGAGACACGGUCCAGACUCCUACGGGAGGCAGCAGUGGGGAAUAUUGGACAAUGGGCGAAAGCCUGAUCCAGCCAUGCCGCGUGUGUGAAGAAGGUCUUCGGAUUGUAAAGCACUUUAAGUUGGGAGGAAGGGCAGUAAGUUAAUACCUUGCUGUUUUGACGUUACCAACAGAAUAAGCACCGGCUAACUUCGUG